GACGAACGCUGGCGGCGUGCCUAAUACAUGCAAGUUGAGCGCUGAAGGUUGGUACUUGUACCAACUGGAUGAGCAGCGAACGGGUGAGUAACGCGUGGGGAAUCUGCCUUUGAGCGGGGGACAACAUUUGGAGACGAAUGCUAAUACCGCAUAAAAACUUUAAACACAAGUUUUAAGUUUGAAAGAUGCAAUUGCAUCACUCAAAGAUGAUCCCGCGUUGUAUUAGCUAGUUGGUGAGGUAAAGGCUCACCAAGGCGAUGAUACAUAGCCGACCUGAGAGGGUGAUCGGCCACAUUGGGACUGGGACACGGCCCAAACUCCUACGGGAGGCAGCAGUAGGGAAUCUUCGGCAAUGGACGAAAGUCUGACCGAGCAACGCCGCGUGAGUGAAGAAGGUUUUCGGAUCGUAAAACUCUGUUGGUAGGGAAGAACGUUGGUGAGAGUGGAAAGCUCAUCAAGUGACGGUAACUACCCAGAAAGGGACGGCUAACUACGUG
This 497-nucleotide ribosomal RNA is filed under the name uncultured bacterium. RNAcentral's name for it is "partial 16S ribosomal RNA". It matches the Rfam family "Bacterial small subunit ribosomal RNA", at positions 28 to 507 of the family's 1533-position model. The record is from RNAcentral.